GACGAACGCUGGCGGCGUGCUUAACACAUGCAAGUCGAACGGAAAGGCCCUGCUUUUGUGGGGUGCUCGAGUGGCGAACGGGUGAGUAACACGUGAGUAACCUGCCCUUGACUUUGGGAUAACUUCAGGAAACUGGGGCUAAUACCGGAUAGGAGCUCCUGCUGCAUGGUGGGUUGGAAAGUUUCGGCGGUUGGGAUGGACUCGCGGCUUAUCAGCUUGUUGGUGGGGUAGUUGCUUACCAAGGCUUUGACGGGUAGCCGGCCUGAGAGGGUGACCGGCCACAGUGGGACUGAGAUACGGCCCAGACUCCUACGGGAGGCAGCAGUGGGGAAUAUUGCACAAUGGGCGGAAGCCUGAUGCAGCAACGCCGCGUGCGGGAUGACGGCCUUCGGGUUGUAAACCGCUUUCGCCUGUGACGAAGCGUGAGUGACGGUAAUGGGUAAAGAAGCACCGGCUAACUACGUG
This 465-nucleotide ribosomal RNA is filed under the name uncultured bacterium. RNAcentral's name for it is "partial 16S ribosomal RNA". It matches the Rfam family "Bacterial small subunit ribosomal RNA", at positions 28 to 507 of the family's 1533-position model. The record is from RNAcentral.